UAUCUUACUUUUGUUUCUUUCUCUCUUUUCUCCUGUCCUGUGAACUAGGCAAGGUGGGGGUAGGAAGGCAGCAGAAUAGUAGUGGUCUCCUUCCUUAGUGAGAGGAUCUCUUGAGGCCAGGAGUUCAAGACCAGCCUGGGCAACAUAGUGAGACACCAUCAUGUGUGGUGGCAUGUGCCUGUAGUCCCACCUGUUCAGGAGGCUGAGGCAAGAGGAUUGCUUGAGUCUGGUAGUUCUGAUGACAGUGGCGGCAGUCGAGUGGAUGCUGUCAUCAUGCUGGCUGCAGUGGGGAGGCACGAGUCGGGCAGCAGAAGCGGCUCUGGGAGUGGCAGUGGUAGUAGUGAGUCCCCUGUUCCCUGCAUCCCUGAGGCAGCCGACUGCACCACCCCCACCCUCACACAGCUGGGCGGGACCUGCUCUUAAGCCCAGACCCUCUGCUGCAGCCUCAACCUCACUCCCCGCCAUAUCCCAGAAGCCCACGAGCACCCUGCCAAAGGUGCAGCCGGGACUUGUAGGGCCAGCCCCAGGACCAUCAGGCUUAUUUGUGUGGGGUGGUCGGGGCUGCCAUGCCAUCUGCACCUUGCCCGCUGCCACUGUGGGGAAAAUGCAAAGAGGAGGUGCAGCUGGGCCGCAUGCUCCACAGAGCUGGCAGGAACUGGAGACAAGUGGGAGCCCCACCCCUUCCAAGUGGUGGAGUGGGAGCUCCCUAGGCACAAUUGCAAGCACCCAAGCCAGGGCUGCAACUCAGGUACCCUGUGCUCUUGGGAGCCAGGAGCAGGCAGAAGCCCCACCCUCCUGGCUGCAGCUGCAGCUGUGGGGCCAGGCACCUCUGCACUCUCGGGGGCCCAGGAAGGCCCCUUUCUGCUGCCACAGGCUCGGAAGUGCCUGAUCCUGCUGUCUGGCUUUCCCCACUGUCAGCGCCUGAUCUGAUCAUGGAGCAAAGUUGAGGCUGAACCUGGGUGCUGCUGCGGCUUGGCUGGGUGUGUGAAUGCUCUGGGCAGUGCUGACACACCAGCCCCCUGCCACCUUGGCCCCCUCCGGCCUUUGGGUGCCAACGAGCAUGGGAGGGAAGCCAAGAGGGGCUGAGGGCAGCUCAGUGCUGGCCUGCAGGCACCCCUUGGCACAAACAGCCUGGGUGCCAUGAAUGGUGGCAAGAGGCAGAUGGGUCCCGGGUGAAGCCUGACCUUCAAGCCAGGGAAGGCCUGAAGCCUGGGGGCUGGGCUGCAGGUCCCAUGGAUUGGAAUGGGAAAUUUUGAUGCUUUUUCUGGCCCACCCAUGGCUGCCCAUGGACCAAUAGGCAUGUACUUCCUCCCCUCUGAGGGCCAUAAAAAGCCCCUGACUCAGCCAGACCAGAAGAGACAAUGGGACGACCAGCUGCAGGAAGGAGCUGCCCUCUCUGCUGAGAGCUGGAGAGACUCGGCAACCUGCCCACAGACAGGAGCCACUCUAGCCAGGGAAGUAAGCAGGCCAGCCAGCUCUUUCUUUUCCAGUACUCCUGGGCCCAGUGGGGUCUUCUCACUCAGUUACAAUUUUUGAUCUAAGAACAUUCACUUUCCAACUGAUUGCAAAGUAAAGGUGACUGGCAUGGUGUGGCCACGAGAGACGCAGCAUAAGCUCAGAGGUGAACAUCAGUGCCGGGACCAUUUGGAGCAGGAUGUAGUAACCACCAAAUGGAGACCAAGGCCUUCUGGCUCGACCUAGAGCACGAAUGUAGCAAAGCGAAGUCCUGCAGAGGAGCCAUCCUCUCUGCUGAGAGCUGAACACUCAUGGGGAUACCCUGGCUGCGGAGAGGAGCUGCCCACUGUGGGUCUCCUCUGAGCUGUUCCAUGACUCAGUAAAGCUCCUCUUUGUCUUGUUAACCCUCUACUUGUCUGUAUGUACUUCAUUCUUCCUGGAUGCAGGACAAGAACUGGGGACGUGCUGAAUGGUGGGGCUAAAAGAGCUGUAACAUGAAGAGGGCUGAACCAUGCGUCUUGCUCGCCACAUGGUGGAAGACAAGAAGGAAAGAAGAGCUGCAGCCCUUUGGGGAGCCCAGACCCAGGAGCUCCCCAAGCUGGGGUUCUGACAUCCUCUUUAGGGCUCUGCAGUUCCUGGUAUCUCCAAGCUUCCAAGCACCACCAUGUUUCCUAGUGUCAGCUGUGGAAGCUACUUAUGGUAUACUUGGUCUAACUGCAGCCUUGCAGGAAACCAGCGCCCAUGUUGGCACCUGGAGCUGCCUGCCCCACCGCAGCCCACAUACCUGGCUGUGCACAGUGGCCAGACUCCACACUCAUUGGCUCACACACACCUCGCCGCCCCACUCGCCCUUGGCAGGUGUGGGAUACAGGUUGGUGGCAUGAGCCGAGCACAGCCUGCAGGGAUGAGUGGGCCCAAUGGGCCUGAGCAAAACGGGCAAAGGCAUCACUGGCCACAGAGGUUUCCAGCUGGCAAAGCAACACCCCAAAGGUCCGGUGACAGUUUGCGGCUGUGGUGAGCCAUUAUUGCAUCACUGCACUUCAGCCUGGGCAACAGAGCAAGAUGCUGUCUCAAAAGAAUCUCAGCGAGUACAACAGGGAGAUGUACUGAGCCUCAGACCACCGUCUCCCAAGAGCUCAGCGUGCCUCUUGCUGUACCCUACCUGGACAAGCCCCCAACUCCGCUCCACUUCUACCGGGACUGGGUCUGCCCCAGCAGGCCGUGCAUCAUCCGCAACGCUCUGCAGCACUGGCCGGCCCUCCAAAAGUGGUCCCUCCCCUAUUUCAGUGGGGUCCACGGAGGUGAGCGUGGCCGUGACCCCAGACGGUUACGCGGAUGCCGUGAGAGGGGACCGCUUCGUGAUGCCAGCUGAACGCCGCGUGCCCCUGAGCUUCGUGCUGGAUGUGCUGGAGGGCCGGGCCCAGCACCCCGGGGUCCUCUACGUGCAGAAGCAGUGCUCCAACCUGCCCACCGAGCUGCCCCAGCUGCUGCCUGACCUGGAAUCCCAUGUGCCCUGGGCCUCAGAAGCCCUGGGAAAGAUGCCCGAUGCUGUGAACUUCUGGCUAGGGGAGGCGGCUGCGGUGACUUCUUGUAGGUGUCGGGAAUACAAAGGACUCGGGCACCACAGAGGGCUUCCCUUGACAGCUGAGGCCGUCUUGGGGUGCAGGGCUCUCAGCAUGAUGGUUUGCCGCCUCUUGUGCCCCUGCCCUCCAUACCCUGCCCCCGGGCCUUCUUUAUGUUGGCAGUGCACAAGGACCCCUAUGAGAACCUCUACUGCGUGGUCUCAGGAGAGAAGCAUUUCCUGUUACAUCCGCCCAGCGACCGGCCCUUCAUCCCCUAUGAGCUGUACACGCCGGCAACCUACCAGCUAACCGAAGAGGGCACCUUUAAGGUGGUGGAUGAAGAGGCCAUGGAGAAGGUGCCCUGGAUCCCACUGGACCCCUUGGCGCCAGACCUAGCCCGCUACCCCAGUUACAGUCAGGCCCAGGCCCUUCGCUGUACAGUGCGGGCCGGUGAGAUGCUCUAUCUGCCGGCUCUGUGGUUCCACCACGUCCAGCAGUCCCAGGGCUGCAUUGCAGUGAAUUUCUGGUAUGACAUGGAAUACGACCUCAAGUAUAGUUACUUCCAGCUGCUCGACUCCCUCACCAAGGCUUCAGGCCUUGACUGAUGGAGCUCUGGUGAACAUGGCCAGGCACGCCUCGGGGGAAGGGGCCAGCCCCUUCCUGGCCGGGUCAAUUCUCGAGAGCCUGGAGUGUGCAUGCUGGCUGCUGGCCCAGGGUCCAGCAUGGCUUGAGAUCAACUUUGGAGGAUCUUGGAAUGUGGUCAUGAGGACUCAAGGUGCCAGGCAGGUCUGGGUGAGGGUUCUCAGGAAGUUACCACACAGGUGAGCGGAGCAGGGAUCAGGUGCAGUGGCACCUCUCCCCAGUGCUGUGAUGUUGGGAGAGUCACUGCAUCUCGGGCAUUGGUGUCCUGUCAGUAAACAGAUAAUAAUGGCUCUACCUCGCAGGGCUAUCAUGGGCUUGGAGAUGAUGUCUAUGAGGACCAGCGUGGAGCUGGCACACAGGACAUGUUGAAUAAAAGGUAGCUGUGA
Non-coding RNA from Macaca mulatta (Rhesus monkey), 4045 nucleotides. Lineage: Eukaryota; Metazoa; Chordata; Mammalia; Primates; Cercopithecidae. The record is from RefSeq and is a predicted model, not a curated record.